RNAcentral lists this ribosomal RNA (406 nucleotides) under bacterium enrichment culture clone ALO1_GLFRUDD03F5Q32. RNAcentral describes it as "bacterial SSU rRNA". It matches the Rfam family "Bacterial small subunit ribosomal RNA", at positions 9 to 416 of the family's 1533-position model. The record is from RNAcentral.
GAGUUUGAUCGUGGCUCAGAUUGAACGCUGGCGGCAUGCCUUACACAUGCAAGUCGAACGGCAGCACGGGAGCUUGCUCCUGGUGGCGAGUGGCGAACGGGUGAGUAAUGCAUCGGAACGUAUCCUGGAGUGGGGGAUAACGUAGCGAAAGUUACGCUAAUACCGCAUAUUCUGUGAGCAGGGAAAGCGGGGGACCUUCGGGCCUCGCGCUCUUGGAGCGGCCGAUGUCGGAUUAGCUAGUUGGUGAGGUAAAGGCUCACCAAGGCGACGAUCCGUAGCAGGUCUGAGAGGAUGAUCUGCCACACUGGAACUGAGACACGGUCAGACUCCUACGGGAGGCAGCAGUGGGAAUUUUGGACAAUGGGGGCAACCCUGAUCCAGCCAUGCCGCGUGAGUGAAGAAGGCC